GGGGAAUUAGCUCAAAUGGUAGAGCGCUCGCUUAGCAUGCGAGAGGUAGCCGGAUCGAUGCCCCGCAUUCUCCA
This 74-nucleotide transfer RNA is filed under the name Merluccius polli (Benguela hake). It matches the Rfam family "tRNA". From Rfam's summary of the family: Transfer RNA (tRNA) molecules are approximately 80 nucleotides in length. Their secondary structure includes four short double-helical elements and three loops (D, anti-codon, and T loops). The record is from Rfam by way of RNAcentral. Lineage: Eukaryota; Metazoa; Chordata; Actinopteri; Gadiformes; Merlucciidae.